UACGUAGGGUGCAAGCGUUAAUCGGAAUUACUGGGCGUAAAGGGUGCGCAGGCGGUUUUGUAAGUCAGAUGUGAAAUCCCGGGGCUUAACCUGGGAAUUGCGUUUGAAACUACAAGGCUAGAGUGUAGCAGAGGGAGGUGGAAUUCCAUGUGUAGCGGUGAAAUGCGUAGAGAUAUGGAAGAACAUCGAUGGCGAAGGCAGCCUCCUGGGUUAACACUGACGCUCAUGCACGAAAGCGUGGGGAGCAAACAGG
RNAcentral lists this ribosomal RNA (253 nucleotides) under uncultured bacterium. RNAcentral describes it as "partial 16S ribosomal RNA". It matches the Rfam family "Bacterial small subunit ribosomal RNA", at positions 524 to 776 of the family's 1533-position model. The record is from RNAcentral.